RNAcentral lists this transfer RNA (69 nucleotides) under Iphiteon panicea. RNAcentral describes it as "tRNA-Ala". The record is from RNAcentral. Lineage: Eukaryota; Metazoa; Porifera; Hexactinellida; Hexactinosida; Dactylocalycidae.
GGGAUUUUAGUUUAAACGAAAACAAUAAUAUUGCAAAUUACAAACAUAACUUCACACCUAUAAAUUCCA